Molecule: long non-coding RNA, 231 nt
Filed under: Lathyrus oleraceus (garden pea)
Lineage: Eukaryota; Viridiplantae; Streptophyta; Magnoliopsida; Fabales; Fabaceae
Description: Pisum sativum (pea) long non-coding RNA (PSAT_LNC015950)
Source: RNAcentral
UAAUAUGCUACAUGUUUUGCAUGAUUGAGUUGACCUUUAUCCGCUGCGUAUUAUGCAACUGUUUUAUUUGAUAAAUAAAUGAGCAUGACAAACUACUUUGGUGAAUGGUGCGAAUAAUUGUGUGACACCCUUGAAGGGCAUAAUUACUUUGAUUGUUAUAUGUUUAUUAUUUUAAUUAAAUUUUGGGGUAUUUUAGAAGGGUGUUACACAUAUUGUUUUAGAGCCAACAAG